GAGUAAUGUCUGGGAAACUGCCUGAUGGAGGGGGAUAACUACUGGAAACGGUAGCUAAUACCGCAUAACGUCGCAAGACCAAAGUGGGGGACCUUCGGGCCUCAUGCCAUCAGAUGUGCCCAGAUGGGAUUAGCUGGUAGGUGGGGUAACGGCUCACCUAGGCGACGAUCCCUAGCUGGUCUGAGAGGAUGACCAGCCACACUGGAACUGAGACACGGUCCAGACUCCUACGGGAGGCAGCAGUGGGGAAUAUUGCACAAUGGGCGCAAGCCUGAUGCAGCCAUGCCGCGUGUGUGAAGAAGGCCUUCGGGUUGUAAAGCACUUUCAGCGGGGAGGAAGGC
This 341-nucleotide ribosomal RNA is filed under the name Klebsiella variicola. RNAcentral describes it as "bacterial SSU rRNA". It matches the Rfam family "Bacterial small subunit ribosomal RNA", at positions 108 to 452 of the family's 1533-position model. The record is from RNAcentral. Lineage: Bacteria; Pseudomonadati; Pseudomonadota; Gammaproteobacteria; Enterobacterales; Enterobacteriaceae.